UGGGGAAUAUUGCACAAUGGGCGCAAGCCUGAUGCAGCCAUGCCGCGUGUGUGAAGAAGGCCUUCGGGUUGUAAAGCACUUUCAGCGAGGAGGAAGGGUAGUGUGUUAAUAGCACAUUGCAUUGACGUUACUCGCAGAAGAAGCACCGGCUAACUCCGUGCCAGCAGCCGCGGUAUACGGAGGGUGCAAGCGUUAAUCGGAAUUACUGGGCGUAAAGCGCACGCAGGCGGUUUGUUAAGUCAGAUGUGAAAUCCCCGCGCUUAACGUGGGAACUGCAUUUGAAACUGGCAAGCUAGAGUCUUGUAGAGGGGGGUAGAAUUCCAGGUGUAGCGGUGAAAUGCGUAGAGAUCUGGAGGAAUACCGGUGGCGAAGGCGGCCCCCUGGACAAAGACUGACGCUCAGGUGCGAAAGCGUGGGGAGCAAACA
This 426-nucleotide ribosomal RNA is filed under the name uncultured bacterium. Its description in RNAcentral is "partial 16S ribosomal RNA". It matches the Rfam family "Bacterial small subunit ribosomal RNA", at positions 355 to 774 of the family's 1533-position model. The record is from RNAcentral.